Molecule: ribosomal RNA, 478 nt
Filed under: uncultured bacterium
Lineage: Bacteria
Description: partial 16S ribosomal RNA
Rfam family: Bacterial small subunit ribosomal RNA
Source: RNAcentral
GACGAACGCUGGCGGCGUGCUUAACACAUGCAAGUCGAACGGUAAGGCCCUUCGGGGUACACGAGUGGCGAACGGGUGAGUAACACGUGGGUGAUCUGCCCUGCACUUCGGGAUAAGCCUGGGAAACUGGGUCUAAUACCGGAUAGGACUCCUGGCCUCCUGGUUGGGGGUGGAAAGCUUUUGCGGUGUGGGAUGGGCCCGCGGCCUAUCAGCUUGUUGGUGGGGUAAUGGCCUACCAAGGCGACGACGGGUAGCCGGCCUGAGAAGGUGACCGGUCACACUGGGACUGAGAUACGGCCCAGACUCCUACGGGAGGCAGCAGCGGGGAAUAUUGCACAAUGGGCGCAAGCCUGAUGCAGCGACGCCGCGUGAGGGAUGACGGCCUUCGGGUUGUAAACCUCUUUCAGCUAUGACGAAGCGCAAGUGACGGUAGUAGCAGAAGAAGGACCGGCCAACUACGUGCCAGCCGCCGCGGUAA